GCUGGAACUUAUCUGCUGGACUCUCAGAGGCCUACAAAGGAACUCCUCUCUGGGGAUGAAGACCAAAAUCAACAUUCUGUGAGGGAACUUAAAAUAGCAACAAAUGUGACUCCCAGAAAAUGCAAAGUAGUUUCUGCAUCUUGACCCCUCGAGUUUGCAAAAAUUGCAGUGCCAGGUCUGGGUGGCAACUACCAUGCCUUGUGAUGCAGACUUUGGCCUAGACCUCAAGGCAGCUUUUCCAGGCCCUUUCAGAGGAGUAGGACCUAACAAAGUGCAGGACUGCAUCUGAAAACAUCUUCCCUGAGAGUCGGGUGAGGAAGAAAUAAGUGGAGCAAGAGAACAAGAACAGCGGUAGAGUGUCCUCCUCUGCUUCGGCACAACUGCAUCCGUCACCUGCCGCUGCCAUUACACACUUAGGAACUGAAUAAACCCACUACACGGCAUUGGAAACGGCCUUAUCCACAGCUGAUGGAUAAACACAGCUCUUUCUUCACCUUUUCGGAAGCCUUUUACUAUCAAUACCAUCUUUCAGAUGUGUCUUGGAGCUUCAGACCAAUGUAUUCAACUACCUCCUUAACAAUGUCCCCUCAGCCAUACUGAAGGCAACUGUAACUUCACAAGUCAAAGAUGGCACUCGGAAUCCGCUCCCUGACUUGUCAUCAUGCACUCCUCAAU
Molecule: long non-coding RNA, 675 nt
Organism: Suricata suricatta (meerkat)
Lineage: Eukaryota; Metazoa; Chordata; Mammalia; Carnivora; Herpestidae
Exons: 3
Source: RefSeq, a predicted model, not a curated record